RNAcentral lists this ribosomal RNA (254 nucleotides) under uncultured bacterium. Its description in RNAcentral is "partial 16S ribosomal RNA". It matches the Rfam family "Bacterial small subunit ribosomal RNA", at positions 524 to 776 of the family's 1533-position model. The record is from RNAcentral.
UACGUAGGGACCAAGCGUUGUUCGGAUUUACUGGGCGUAAAGGGCGCGUAGGCGGCAAUUCAAGUCAUCUGUGAAAUCUCCGGGCUUAACUCGGAACGGUCAGAUGAUACUGCUUUGCUAGAGUGCGGAAGGGGCAAUCGGAAUUCUUGGUGUAGCGGUGAAAUGCGUAGAUAUCAAGAGGAACACCUGAGGUGAAGACGGGUUGCGGGGCCGACACUGACGCUGACAGCGCGAAAGCCAGGGGAGCAAACGGG